CAGCAGCCGCGGUAAUACGUAGGGUGCGAGCGUUAAUCGGAAUUACUGGGCGUAAAGCGUGCGCAGGCGGUUAUAUAAGACAGAUGUGAAAUCCCCGGGCUCAACCUGGGACCUGCAUUUGUGACUGUAUAGCUAGAGUACGGUAGAGGGGGAUGGAAUUCCGCGUGUAGCAGUGAAAUGCGUAGAUAUGCAGAGGAACACCGAUGGCGAAGGCAAUCCCCUGGACCUGUACUGACGCUCAUGCACGAAAGCGUGGGGAGCAAACAGGAUUAGAUACCCCUGUAGUCCCUGUCUCUUAUAC
This 301-nucleotide ribosomal RNA is filed under the name uncultured bacterium. RNAcentral describes it as "partial 16S ribosomal RNA". It matches the Rfam family "Bacterial small subunit ribosomal RNA", at positions 509 to 807 of the family's 1533-position model. The record is from RNAcentral.